RNAcentral lists this long non-coding RNA (1413 nucleotides) under Panicum hallii. RNAcentral describes it as "long non-coding RNA (PHAL_LNC000326)". The record is from RNAcentral. Lineage: Eukaryota; Viridiplantae; Streptophyta; Magnoliopsida; Poales; Poaceae.
CGAGUGAGUUAAUUUGUGUUGUCUUGUGCUGUGUCAAAUUGAUAUAACUCACUCUCAGCGCUGAUAGUUCCUUCCAUCAGAUUUUGUUUAGUUUCUGUACCAUCCUGGCAUCCUGCCCCUUGCCUUGCAAAUUGUCAAGAAAGUUAUGAUUCUUUUCUGUACUUUUGUUUUAUCUUGAAUCUCAGCUGUUGUUCAAGUUUAUAUACGGAAGGUUAAUUUUUCAGGUCCAAUUAGAUUCGCUAAGCUGGUCUGUUUUGCUGUUUUACCGCUUGUUAAUGUAAGCCAUCUUUGUUCAUUUGAAAGCUCUAUCUUUCCUAUCUUUUGCAGCUUUUGGGCCCGGCCCGAACAGCCUGCGCUUCCUAUCCUUUCGGGUUGUUGGCAUAAAUUGGAAUACCUUAUGUUUGGCACUGGACCUUGGCCUGUUUUAAAUUACAGAGUAUAUACCCACUAGUGCUGAAAGUUCUCUAUUUGUGUCCGUCUGUGAAUGGCCCAAACAGCCUCACAUCCUUUCGGGUCGCGGAUUACUCCUAGAUCCACAUUGGACCUUGGCCUGUUUAAAUUAUAGAGUGAGUAUCAACUAAUGCUGAAAAUUUUCCGUUUGUAUCCGACUGUGAAGAAGGCAGGCAGUCGGGCCUUGAUGGCCAGGCUAGAUCUGUUUAGCAGAAUUGCGAGGUCUUAUCCCGUGAAAGCUCAAAUUCAGCUGAUGUUGAAAUAUGUGUUUCUUGGAAUGCACUCCCUAUCUUUCCAUCAAGAAUGGCUAGAUAGAAGUUCGAAUUUGUGGACGAAAGUUCAAAACAAACAGAAGCGAAGUGGAACAACAAGGUAUAUUCAUAACCUUUCCUAUCUGAUGGCACACACAAUUUCGCAAUUUUUUUCAAGAAGAGGCUGAAAAAGAUCGAGGAUCAAAGAAGAAGAUAGACCUCGGUGGAUUAGGGCAUUUGAAUAUCACCUUAUAUCGUUCAAUGCAUAUUGUGCAAUAUCCCUGUAGAAGCAAUUACUAGUGCCGAUGUCAAUGGAGGCACGGAUAAUCAUGCAGGGGCGGAUUCAGUGUGGGGGCACGGGAGUACAGACCUCUACCCCCAUGCACAACAUAGAGCCCACCAACCAAAAAAAAAUUUCAACCAUGAAUGAAGAAGAGGGAGAAGAAAAGGAGAAAGAAGAAGAAGAAAAGGAGAGGAGGGAGGAAGAAGAAGGGAAAAAUAAGCUCCUCUAGAUUUAGAUCCUAGAUCCGCUAUUGUAAUCAACCCCCACCCUCACAUCAAUAUGGUCUUUGUUGUACUGGUUCCAUAAUGGGCACAUAUAUGGGUUUAUUUGGAGCCAGCAAGGAUGUGGUGUUCUUCAGUAGUGUGCUACUGUGCUAAAUUUUUAGAAUAAGUCCAUUUUGACUCAUUAACCCUUAAAUUUGUCUAAAUU